This is a long non-coding RNA of Sarcophilus harrisii (Tasmanian devil), 424 nucleotides long. RefSeq lists it as uncharacterized. The transcript has 3 exons. NCBI's taxonomy places the organism in Eukaryota, Metazoa, Chordata, Mammalia, Dasyuromorphia, Dasyuridae. The record is from RefSeq and is a predicted model, not a curated record.
UUUACUAGGCCAGGCCACCUCCAAAAAGUGACUGAGCUUCCCCUGACCUCAACAUCUGCCCACUCAGUGGCCCUGACUCUCUGCUAUGAAGACCUAACAAUGAGGCACCACUACCCACUGCCCAUUGGGUAGCCCAGGCAUCCUAACUAUUUCCAUGCCUUCUUAUCUACUAGGCCAGGCUUACCACCCCAAAGCCAGGCUUACCACCCCAACGUGAGUGAGCUGCUCCUGCCCCCAACAUCUGCCCACUGAACAGCCCUGACCCCCUGCUCUGAAGACAUAACAAUAAGCUGGCCUCGCCCCUGGUGACACUGAGGUUACCUUGCCCACUGCCCAUUGUGCCUAACCGUUUCCAUGCCUCCUUUUCUACUAGGCCAGGCUUACCACCCCAAAGCCAGGCUUACCACCCCAAAGUGAGUGAGCU